CCUACGGGUGGCUGCAAUUAGGAAUCUUGCGCAAUGGGGGCAACCCUGACGCAGCGACGCCGCGUGCGGGAAGACGGCCUUCGGGUUGUAAACCGCUUUUGCCGGGGAAGAAGGAAGUGACGGUACCCGGUGAAUAAGCCCCGGCUAACUACGUGCCAGCAGCCGCGGUAAUACGUAGGGGGCGAGCGUUGUCCGAAGUUACUGGGCGUAAAGAGCGCGUAGGCGGCUGUUCAAGUCCGGGGUGAAAGGUCCAGUGCUCAACGCGGACAGUGCCC
Molecule: ribosomal RNA, 275 nt
Filed under: uncultured bacterium
Lineage: Bacteria
Description: partial 16S ribosomal RNA
Rfam family: Bacterial small subunit ribosomal RNA
Source: RNAcentral